CGCACAUUGCGCCCCGUGGUAUUCCGCGGGGCAUGCCUGUUCGAGCGUCAUUUAAACCAAUCCAGCUUGCUGGGUCUUGGGUCUCGCCUCUGGGCGGACCUUAAAAUCAGUGGUGGUGCCACCCGGCUCUAAGCGUAGUAAUUCUUCUCGCUACAGAGUCCCGGGUGGAGGCUUGCCAACGAACCCCCAAUUUUUUAAGGUUGACCUCGGAUCAGGUAGGGAUACCCGCUGAACUUAA
RNAcentral lists this unclassified non-coding RNA (238 nucleotides) under Helotiales sp. Its description in RNAcentral is "partial contains 5.8S ribosomal RNA, internal transcribed spacer 2, and large subunit ribosomal RNA". Lineage: Eukaryota; Fungi; Ascomycota; Leotiomycetes; Helotiales. The record is from RNAcentral.